Molecule: ribosomal RNA, 857 nt
Filed under: Monacha sp. 3 MTN-2017
Lineage: Eukaryota; Metazoa; Mollusca; Gastropoda; Stylommatophora; Hygromiidae
Description: partial 16S ribosomal RNA
Source: RNAcentral
GUUAUCUAUAAAUGUAUUAGUUUAAACCACACGAAACCAGUUGAGCUAAUUUUCUUUUCUUAUUUUAGUAUAAAUGCGCAGCGUAGUAUAGCUAUGUAUAGAAUAAAAAUUAGGGGUGAAAGGCCUAACAAAUCUGGUGAUAUCUUGAUAUUAAGGAAAUAUAUUUAGUAUAUUAAUCAACUUAUAAAUGGUGAGGUUUAUAAGUUUUAUGAUAUAAGCUUCUAUAUUAGUGGAUUUUAUAAUAGAUACCACUUAAACUCCUUUAAAAUUUAAUACUUUUAUUAUAUAAACUUUACUUAAUUGAUAAUUAUAAUGUAAUUAUUAUUUAAUAAUGAUUUCAUUAGUAUUUAAAUAAAACUAAUUAAGGAACUCGGCAAAACUAUUUCUCGACUGUUUAUCAAAAACAUAGUUUUAAGUAUAUAAUUUAAAAUUUUACCUGCUCAAUGAUAAUUUUUAAUAGCCGCAGUACACUGACUGUGCAAAGGUAGCAUAAUCAAUUGGCUUAUAAUUGAAGUCUAGUAUGAAUGGGGUUUUGGGAAAUAACUGUCUUGGUUAAAUCCUUAGAACUUAAUAAAUAAGUGAAAAUUCUUAUAUAUAAUAAAAAAGACGAGAAGACCCUAGAAAUUUUAUUUAGGUAUCAAAAAUACUUCUAAUUUUGUUGGGGCGACAUAGUAACAUUAAACUUACUUAAGAAUAUAGGAAACUAAUGAGUGGAGUAAAUAAAUUACUCUAGGGAUAACAGCAUAAUAUUUAAAAGUUUGUGACCUCGAUGUUGGACUAGGGAGUACAAUACUUAAAAGGUACUGUAAUAAGCUCUGUUCGAGCUAUACACCCUACAUGAUCUGAGUUCAGACCGG